Sorex araneus (European shrew) is the source of this 103-nucleotide small nuclear RNA. NCBI's taxonomy places the organism in Eukaryota, Metazoa, Chordata, Mammalia, Eulipotyphla, Soricidae. The record is from Ensembl.
UUGCUUCAGCAGCAUAUGUACUAAAAUUGAAACGAUACAGAGAAGAUUAGCAUGGCCCCUGCGAAAGGAUGACAUGCAAAAUUGUAAAAUGUUUCCUUUUUUU